RNAcentral lists this ribosomal RNA (484 nucleotides) under uncultured bacterium. Its description in RNAcentral is "partial 16S ribosomal RNA". It matches the Rfam family "Bacterial small subunit ribosomal RNA", at positions 30 to 507 of the family's 1533-position model. The record is from RNAcentral.
AUUGAACGCUGGCGGCAGGCCUAACACAUGCAAGUCGAGCGGAUGAAGGGAGCUUGCUCCUGGAUUCAGCGGCGGACGGGUGAGUAAUGCCUAGGAAUCUGCCUGGUAGUGGGGGAUAACGUCCGGAAACGGGCGCUAAUACCGCAUACGUCCUGAGGGAGAAAGUGGGGGAUCUUCGGACCUCACGCUAUCAGAUGAGCCUAGGUCGGAUUAGCUAGUUGGUGGGGUAAAGGCGUACCAAGGCGACGAUCCGUAACUGGUGUGAGAGGAUGAUCAGUCACACUGGAACUGAGACACGGUCCAGACUCCUACGGGAGGGAGCAGUGGGGAAUAUUGGACAAUGGGCGAAAGCCUGAUCCAGCCAUGCCGCGUGUGUGAAGAAGGUCUUCGGAUUGUAAAGCACUUUAAGUUGGGAGGAAGGGCAGUAAGUUAAUACCUUGCUGUUUUGACGUUACCAACAGAAUAAGCACCGGCUAACUUCGUG